Molecule: unclassified non-coding RNA, 293 nt
Filed under: Hevea brasiliensis (rubber tree)
Lineage: Eukaryota; Viridiplantae; Streptophyta; Magnoliopsida; Malpighiales; Euphorbiaceae
Source: RNAcentral
GGCUUGGACUUUUCACAGAUGACCUAGAACUAUAAGAAACUUUUGCUCAGGCAAAGAGCCAAAAGAACCCAGGCUUUGAUUUUCUAGUAACCAAUGAAACGUGGCUGACAUCAUCUUCUUGAUAUUGCUGUUGGCUAUCAGAUAGCACAAUACUAGAGUUGGUUUCUUUUUGAGCUAGAAAACCAGAAGACUAUCAAGGGAAGUGGAACUGGGAGUUAUGAGUAUGGAAGGUUGGACUCGUCAUUGAUUUUUUUCCCAAGUAAGAAACUGCAUCUCCUGUGAUUUUAAACAUU